GUCGAUAUGUCCGAGUGAUUAAGGAGACGGACUCGAUAUCUGUUGGGCUUUUCCUGCGCUGGUUCAAAUCCUUCUGUCGGCG
Molecule: non-coding RNA, 82 nt
Organism: Populus trichocarpa (black cottonwood)
Lineage: Eukaryota; Viridiplantae; Streptophyta; Magnoliopsida; Malpighiales; Salicaceae
Source: Rfam